RNAcentral lists this unclassified non-coding RNA (456 nucleotides) under Octopus sinensis (East Asian common octopus). RNAcentral describes it as "uncharacterized LOC118765014, transcript variant X1". Lineage: Eukaryota; Metazoa; Mollusca; Cephalopoda; Octopoda; Octopodidae. The record is from RNAcentral.
CAAACAGACACGGUCUCGUCAACACCUCCUGCAUGUACCUCAACGUCUUCACUGCAAACUCGAACAAGAAGUGGGCGAAGAGUCCGCUGGCCGGCGAAAUACAUACAAGUUUUCUAUUUCAAAAAGAUUCCAGAGAAUUGCAGCCUUCCCAAGAACCAACCAUUACAAACUGGUGAUCCCGAUGUUGCACCAUAACAGGGCUUCAAGAUUUCACUAUGACCCUGGCAGGAUGGCUAACAGGUGCUAUGCCUUGCCAAAUGGCAACAUGUGGUUUUGUCUGCGACUGUUUAUUGUGUAUAUGCAGUUAACCUUUAUAUUUGUCGACCAUUCCUCUACCCGCACACUGGGAACCCAAUGGAUGGGAGUUUUCAUCACUGCACCAAGCUCGACAAGACGAUGAUGAUGAUGAAGUUAUAAUAAUGAAGCCACACCAAAGAAUAAUAUUCUGAAAGCAUU